This is a long non-coding RNA of Trifolium pratense (red clover), 416 nucleotides long. RefSeq lists it as uncharacterized. The record is from RefSeq and is a predicted model, not a curated record. NCBI's taxonomy places the organism in Eukaryota, Viridiplantae, Streptophyta, Magnoliopsida, Fabales, Fabaceae. The transcript has 3 exons.
AAUGCAUUUAUUUUCUUAUACCAUAGGUGUCAUCUUUUGAUUAUUACCAUUUGCAGCUGCAACACGCCAUAGGCAGAAACUAGCUGGAUUCCAACAUGCCAGAUUCAAAAGAAAGCAAUAUUUGAAUUUCAAGAGGAAUAAAAAUAUCACUGCUGCACAUAUAGUCCAAGAUAAUCAAUAUGAAGAACAGCGUAUACAAACACUUGCUACGUUUCGACAAGCCAGAUUCAAAAGAAGGCAAAUAUUGAAUUUUAGACGAAAUAAGACCAAGCCUGGGACAGAUAUAGCAAGCACUAGCCAACUCAAUCAACCACUAACAGAAGAAAGACAUAAUAGAAAAAAGAGGAGAACCACAAAAAACUAUACUCCAUCUCAGGUCCAGAGCACAAUUUGUAAGUAUAAACAAACCUAUAUAG